RNAcentral lists this ribosomal RNA (495 nucleotides) under uncultured bacterium. RNAcentral describes it as "partial 16S ribosomal RNA". It matches the Rfam family "Bacterial small subunit ribosomal RNA", at positions 28 to 507 of the family's 1533-position model. The record is from RNAcentral.
GACGAACGCUGGCGGCGUGCCUAAUACAUGCAAGUAGAACGCUGAAGGAGGAGCUUGCUCUUCUGGAUGAGUUGCGAACGGGUGAGUAACGCGUAGGUAACCUGCCUGGUAGCGGGGGAUAACUAUUGGAAACGAUAGCUAAUACCGCAUAACAGUAGAUGUUGCAUGACAUUUGCUUAAAAGGUGCAAUUGCACCACUACCAGAUGGACCUGCGUUGUAUUAGCUAGUUGGUGGGGUAACGGCUCACCAAGGCGACGAUACAUAGCCGACCUGAGAGGGUGAUCGGCCACACUGGGACUGAGACACGGCACAGACUCCUACGGGAGGCAGCAGUAGGGAAUCUUCGGCAAUGGACGGAAGUCUGACCGAGCAACGCCGCGUGAGUGAAGAAGGUUUUCGGAUCGUAAAGCUCUGUUGUAAGAGAAGAACGAGUGUGAGAGUGGAAAGUUCACACUGUGACGGUAUCUUAACAGAAAGGGACGGCUAACUACGUG